GUGCUUGCUCCGGCAGCACAGGUACUAAAACUGGAACAAAAUAGAGAUUAGCAUGGGCCCUGCACAAGGGUGGCCUGAAAGUUUGACGAGAAGUGUUUCAUACUUUU
This is a small nuclear RNA of Fukomys damarensis (Damara mole-rat), 107 nucleotides long. The record is from Ensembl. NCBI's taxonomy places the organism in Eukaryota, Metazoa, Chordata, Mammalia, Rodentia, Bathyergidae.